UACUUUGCUGACGAGCGGCGGACGGGUGAGUAAUGCUUGGGAAUAUGCCUUUUGGUGGGGGACAACAGUUGGAAACGACUGCUAAUACCGCAUAAUGUCUACGGACCAAAGUGGGGGACCUUCGGGCCUCACGCCAAAAGAUUAGCCCAAGUGGGAUUAGCUAGUUGGUAAGGUAAUGGCUUACCAAGGCAACGAUCCCUAGCUGGUUUGAGAGGAUGAUCAGCCACACUGGGACUGAGACACGGCCCAGACUCCUACGGGAGGCAGCAGUGGGGAAUAUUGCACAAUGGGCGCAAGCCUGAUGCAGCCAUGCCGCGUGUGUGAAGAAGGCCUUCGGGUUGUAAAGCACUUUCAGUAAGGAGGAAAGGGUAGUCUUUAAUAGAGGCUAUCUGUGACGUUACUUACAGAAGAAGCACCGGCUAACUCCGUGCCAGCAGCCGCGGUAAUACGGAGGGUGCGAGCGUUAAUCGGAAUUACUGGGCGUAAAGCGUACGCAGGCGGUUUGUUAAGCGAGAUGUGAAAGCCCCGGGCUCAACCUGGGAACUGCAUUUCGAACUGGCAAACUAGAGUGUGAUAGAGGGUGGUAGAAUUUCAGGUGU
This 599-nucleotide ribosomal RNA is filed under the name Psychrobacter alimentarius. Its description in RNAcentral is "bacterial SSU rRNA". It matches the Rfam family "Bacterial small subunit ribosomal RNA", at positions 81 to 676 of the family's 1533-position model. The record is from RNAcentral. Lineage: Bacteria; Pseudomonadati; Pseudomonadota; Gammaproteobacteria; Moraxellales; Moraxellaceae.